This 373-nucleotide ribosomal RNA is filed under the name uncultured organism. RNAcentral's name for it is "partial 16S ribosomal RNA". It matches the Rfam family "Bacterial small subunit ribosomal RNA", at positions 527 to 896 of the family's 1533-position model. The record is from RNAcentral.
GGAGUGUGCGAGCGUUAAUCGGAAUUACUGGGCGUAAAGCGCGCGUAGGGCGGCUUGGUCAGUCGGGAUGUGAAAGCCCCGGGCUUAACCUGGGAAUUGCAUUCGAUACUGCCCGAACUAGAGUAUGGGAGAGGGAAGUGGAAUUUCCGGUGUAGCGGUGAAAUGCGUAGAUAUCGGAAGGAACACCAGUGGCGAAGGCGACUUCCUGGCCCAAUACUGACGCUGAGGUGCGAAAGCGUGGGUAGCGAACAGGAUUAGAUACCCUGGUAGUCCACGCCGUAAACGAUGAGAACUAGAUGUCGGGAAGAUUUACUUCUCGGUGUCGCAGCUAACGCGUUAAGUUCUCCGCCUGGGGAGUACGGUGGCAACACUA